Molecule: ribosomal RNA, 510 nt
Filed under: uncultured bacterium
Lineage: Bacteria
Description: bacterial SSU rRNA
Rfam family: Bacterial small subunit ribosomal RNA
Source: RNAcentral
CUGGCUCAGGAUGAACGCUAGCUACAGGCUUAACACAUGCAAGUCGAGGGGCAGCAUUGUCGAAGCUUGCUUGACAGAUGGCGACCGGCGCACGGGUGAGUAACGCGUAUCCAACCUUCCCCUUAGUAGGGCAUAGCCCGUAGAAAUGCGGAUUAAUACCCUAUGUUGUUCGAUGCGGACAUCUAAGUUGAACCAAAGGUUUACCGCUAAGGGAUGGGGAUGCGUCCGAUUAGGCAGCAGGCGGGGUAACGGCCCACCUGGCCAACGAUCGGUAGGGGUUCUGAGAGGAAGGUCCCCCACAUUGGAACUGAGACACGGUCCAAACUCCUACGGGAGGCAGCAGUGAGGAAUAUUGGUCAAUGGGCGAGAGCCUGAACCAGCCAAGUAGCGUGCAGGAAGACGGCCCUAUGGGUUGUAAACUGCUUUUAUACAGGGAUAAAGUCGGGGACGUGUUCCCCGUUUGCAGGUACUGUAUGAAUAAGGACCGGCUAAUUCCGUGCCAGCCGCAGC